Molecule: ribosomal RNA, 254 nt
Filed under: uncultured bacterium
Lineage: Bacteria
Description: partial 16S ribosomal RNA
Rfam family: Bacterial small subunit ribosomal RNA
Source: RNAcentral
UACGUAGGGGGGCUAGCGUUGUCCGGAAUCAUUGGGCGUAAAGAGCGUGUAGGCGGCUCGGUAAGUCCGCUGUGAAAGUCCAGGGCUCAACCCUGGAAUGCCGGUGGAAACUGUCGAGCUAGAGUCCGGAAGAGGCGAGUGGAAUUCCUGGUGUAGCGGUGAAAUGCGCAGAUAUCAGGAGGAACACCAAUGGCGAAGGCAGCUCGCUGGGACGGUACUGACGCUGAGACGCGAAAGCGUGGGGAGCAAACAGG